Caenorhabditis elegans is the source of this 21-nucleotide non-coding RNA. Lineage: Eukaryota; Metazoa; Nematoda; Chromadorea; Rhabditida; Rhabditidae. The record is from Ensembl.
UAACAACUGCAUAUUGAUGAU